RNAcentral lists this non-coding RNA (32 nucleotides) under Homo sapiens (human). The record is from RNAcentral. Lineage: Eukaryota; Metazoa; Chordata; Mammalia; Primates; Hominidae.
AGAUGACAGAAAUGUGGAAAAUGGAUGUCAGC